This 253-nucleotide ribosomal RNA is filed under the name uncultured bacterium. RNAcentral describes it as "partial 16S ribosomal RNA". It matches the Rfam family "Bacterial small subunit ribosomal RNA", at positions 524 to 776 of the family's 1533-position model. The record is from RNAcentral.
UACGAAGGGUGCAAGCGUUGUUCGGAAUUAUUGGGCGUAAAGCGCACGUAGGCGGCCUUGCAAGUCGGAUGUGAAAUCCCUCGGCUUAACCAAGGAAGUGCAUCCGAAACUGCAGUGCUUGAGUACUUAAGAGGAUCGCGGAAUUCCCGGUGUAGAGGUGAAAUUCGUAGAUAUCGGGAGGAACACCAGUGGCGAAGGCGGCGAUCUGGGAAGAUACUGACGCUGAGGUGCGAAAGCGUGGGGAGCAAACAGG